GUCUAUUUGCGAAAUAAAUUUUUUAAAAGGAUCAAAAUGUGAAAAAUCCAGAGCACUAGGGACCAAGCUUCGGCACAGCCGCCACCUCACCUCCACGGCUUUGCCCAAUGGCCGUCGUGACGCCUCAUCUACGCUGGCACGAGAGAAAUACGAGGAGGAAUAGUACGUCGGGCGGCCCGACUCAGGCCCUCCAUUGGCAAGUUGCUUUGGCUGGCCAAAUUUAGCUAGUAAAGGGAGAGAUUAGGCCAGUUGUUAAUGAGGUUGUUUGAGCACGAAUUUUUUUCUAGAAUUACCAAAAUUUAGUUUGGAGAGUUACUUGAAGAGGCUAUUAGAGACACUCUUACUUGUACGAGAAGUCUUCUGCGGCACAGAACAAAUAUAUACUUUCUUCGUUUUAUAUUAUAAGUUGCUUUCGCUUUUUUUAGUUAAGUGUUUUUAAAUUUAACCAAGUUUUAAAAAUAUAUAGUAUCAUUUUCAAUAAAAACAAACAUUUUAUAAAAUAUAUUAAAUAUUAAUUUAGUGAAACUAAUGUGAUGUUACAAUGUUACUAAACUUUUCUUGCCUAGGAAAAAAAAUCAAAAGAGCUGUCCCCAAGGCUUCAGGUACUGUAGUAGAAUUGUCACCGUCAAUCCGGCCGUCAGCUAUAUCUGCCACCCAUUUGUACCCCUGCAUCCUAUGAUCCCAUUUGCUACAAGCCUGCUUGGAAGGUUUAUAACUGGUAAAAAAAGGUGUAAAUUACAGGCGGUUAAGAAAUUUCGGACAAGGACUCGAAAGAGUGCUUGGAUGAAUCAACGGAAAAGCGUAACGGAAAAGCGUGACCCUUUGAGACCACAAUUUUAUUAGGGCAUUUGUAAAAUUGCCCCUGGUCUUUUCAAACUUCCACUACAAAAUGAAAGUAAAAUAACAAAAAGAAACCACUCUUUAGUCUGGUUGAGAUAAUUUAGAUUCGACUUUUGAAAUUAAUUUAUCGCAAUAUAUAGUUUUAUCGAUUAUACUGAAUUUUAUAUUAGGCUACAAGCAAACAUUGAUCCUUUCCCUAUACUCAUAUAAUAAUUGAUAUCAUAUAAUAAUUGAUAUUAAUGGACCUUAAAUAGUACUCCCUCCAUCCCAUAAUAUAAGGGAUUUUAACUUUUUGCUUGAUCUGUUUGAUCAUUUGUCUUAUUCAAAAAAUUUUAGAAUUAUUAUUUAUUUUAAAGAAAAACCGGCACCUAUACUAUAUAUCCGGUUAUUUGAAAAAAACAAAACCUUUAAUUUAUUAAAGGUGUAAAAAACGACACCUAUUGUAAACGAGCCGAGCUCGGUGGGUGUCUUUUUCUCCACCGGCUCUCUCUCCCAUUCUCUCUCCCUUAUCUCUUCUUCUCAUCCUCCCACUAGCUCUCUGCCACUUUCUCUCCCUUAUCGCUUCUUCUCCUCCUCCCUUAUCUCUUCUUCUUCUACCAGCUCUGUGGCGGUAGGCGGUGGGCUCGCGGCGGUAGGCUCGCUGGGGUGAGGCGGCGGUCUAGGUGGCAGUCUCGUUGGGGGUAGGCGGCAGCAGGCGGCGGGCUUGCCUAGGGGAGGCGGCGGCGAAAGGUGGAGAAGCCCCUCCCCUUUGCUAGAUCCGGCGGGAGGGGAGGCGGCAGCAGAGGGGCAGCGGGGCUCGCAGAUGGAGGCGGCGGCGGUCUCGCCAGGGGUAUGCGGCGGGUUCACCGGGGGAGGCGGAGCGACAGCUCGAAGACGACGACUAUGGCGGUGGCUACACAACCGUGCGACGACAACGAUGUCGGGACAACGGCAGAGUGGUCUGGAUUCUUUUUUUUUUAUUAUUGCUAAGAUCUGGGAUGAAUUUGAGGGUUAAAAUUUGUGUUGUGGAUGAAUGGAUUGAUAUGUGGAUGAAUCCAUCUGUGGAUUUUUUAUUGCCAAGAUCUGGGAGGAAUUUGAUUGUCAAAAUUUGUGUUGUGGAUGAAUCGAUCUGUGGAUUGGAUAUGUGAUGGAUAGAUGAUGAUAUGCUAGUUCUUGUUGUGGUGUGGAUGAAUGUUUGAGGAGGGACUGCUCUGCUCAAUGUGACGAGCUAAUGCGUUGAGCCGAUUUUUCAUUAUUUGUGGAACCUCAAAGGUGUCGGUUCUUAGACCCCGGCAUCUAUUUCUUUUCUUAUUAGUGUCGCCUUCGUGGUGCUGGUUGGGAAAACCGGAACCUAUGGGGGUUUCCCAACCGGCACCUAUUUGUGUUUCUGUAGUAGUGUUAGUCCAAAUUAUUUGCUUCAGUAACAUUCUUGAGUUGGUUGUUGUGG
RNAcentral lists this small RNA (2266 nucleotides) under Oryza sativa Japonica Group (Japanese rice). RNAcentral's name for it is "sRNA Os09g0268500". The record is from RNAcentral. Lineage: Eukaryota; Viridiplantae; Streptophyta; Magnoliopsida; Poales; Poaceae.